AGAGUUUGAUCAUGGCUCAGAAUCAACGCUGGCGGCGCGCCUAACACAUGCAAGUCGAACGAGAAAGUGGAGCAAUCCAUGAGUACAGUGGCGUACGGGUGAGUAACACGUGGGUAAUCUACCCUUUGGUGGGGAAUAACUCUGGGAAACCGGAGCUAAUACCGCAUAAUCCCGAGAGGGAAAAGCAGCAAUGCGCCGAAGGAGGAGCCCGCGGCCGAUUAGCCAGUUGGUAGGGUAAUGGCCUACCAAAGCAAAGAUCGGUAGCCGGCCUGAGAGGGCACACGGCCACACUGGCACUGAAACACGGGCCAGACUCCUACGGGAGGCAGCAGUGGGGAAUCUUGCACAAUGGGGGAAACCCUGAUGCAGCGACGCCGCGUGAGCGAUGAAGCCCUUCGGGGUGUAAAGCUCUUUCGGCAGGGAAGAUUAUGACGGUACCUGCAGAAGCAGCUGCGGCUAACUACGUGCCAGCAGCCGCGGUAAUACGUAGGCAGCAAGCGUUGUUCGGAGUUACUGGGCGUAAAGGGUGUGUAGGCGGCUUUUUAAGUUUGGUGUGAAAUCUCCCGGCUCAACCGGGAGGGUGCGCCGAAUACUGAGAGGCUAGAGUGCGGGAGAGGAAAGUGGAAUUCCUGGUGUAGCGGUGAAAUGCGUAGAUAUCAGGAGGAACACCGGUGGUGUAGACGGCUUUCUGGACCGUAACUGACGCUGAAACACGAAAGCGUGGGUAGCAAACAGGAUUAGAUACCCUGGUAGUCCACGCCCUAAACGAUGCAUAUUUGGUGUGGGUCAUUCAGUUGAUCCGUGCCGGAGCUAACGCGUUAAAUAUGCCGCCUGGGGAGUACAGUCGCAAGGCUGAAACUCAAAGGAAUUGACGGGGGCCCGCACAAGCGGUGGAGCAUGUGGGUUCAAUUCGACGCAACGCGAAGAACCUUACCUGGCUCGAACGGCUGGUUAACGGCGGUGGAAACAUCGCUACCCCGCAAGGGGUCCAGUCGAGUGCUGCAUGGCUG
RNAcentral lists this ribosomal RNA (1010 nucleotides) under uncultured bacterium. RNAcentral describes it as "bacterial SSU rRNA". It matches the Rfam family "Bacterial small subunit ribosomal RNA", at positions 8 to 1051 of the family's 1533-position model. The record is from RNAcentral.